RNAcentral lists this ribosomal RNA (467 nucleotides) under uncultured bacterium. Its description in RNAcentral is "partial 16S ribosomal RNA". It matches the Rfam family "Bacterial small subunit ribosomal RNA", at positions 28 to 506 of the family's 1533-position model. The record is from RNAcentral.
GACGAACGCUGGCGGCGUGCUUAACACAUGCAAGUCGAACGGAAAGGCCCUGCUUUUGUGGGGUGCUCGAGUGGCGAACGGGUGAGUAACCCGUGAGUAACCUGCCCUUGACUUUGGGAUAACUUCAGGAAACUGGGGCUAAUACCGGAUAGGAGCUCCUGCUGCAUGGUGGGGGUUGGAAAGUUUCGGCGGUUGGGGAUGGACUCGCGGCUUAUCAGCUUGUUGGUGGGGUAGUGGCUUACCAAGGCUUUGACGGGUAGCCGGCCUGAGAGGGUGACCGGCCACAUUGGGACUGAGAUACGGCCCAGACUCCUACGGGAGGCAGCAGUGGGGAAUAUUGCACAAUGGGCGGAAGCCUGAUGCAGCAACGCCGCGUGCGGGAUGACGGCCUUCGGGUUGUAAACCGCUUUCGCCUGUGACGAAGCGUGAGUGACGGUAAUGGGGAAAGAAGCACCGGCGAACUACGU